UACAUGCAUGCUCCAUCCUUCUGUGAAAUGAAACCUUCUAUUUCUUUCUGAAAGAGUAUACGUCUUGUAUCCUUUAUUACUUGCAUUUUCAAUCAUCUCAAACUGAUCGAAGGAGAGGGAGCUAGAGAAAUAAGCGAUAAAAAGAGGUUGGAAUCCUGUCGCAGGAGAGAUGGCACUACCUAGCUUUACGCAUACGUACCGAGAUAUAUACGUACGUGGUAAAUAUAUAUAGAUGAGCUAUUGAUGGUGUAGCAGCUAGCUUGUGCCAUCCUCCUGUGACAGUAAUCCCUGCAACUUCUUAAUUUUGUGCCUGUGUGUCCAAUUACAAGGGGGCAAACUACAGAUACACAUUGGUAAUUAACUCUCUCUUUGCUGAUAUGACCAUGAUGCCAUAUUAAGUCUCAAAUUUAAAUGAAGUGACAGAAGAGCUACCUUAAAAUUGAAUAUACAUUCUUGUAUGUAUGUUAACUAUGUUUUCAUGGCAGCUCUUAGAUUAUGUAUAUAUGCUUGCGGAGGUCAACAUCUGUCUGUGAGACUGUGACCAUGAUCUCCAACCCCAAACAAAACCCCAAGCUCUUCCCGCUCUCUCUUCCUUCUUAUUUCGGGCUUUGAUCGGUGAGGGGUUUCGAGCAUCUUUGACCCCCGACGACGUUGACCAUUGCUCCGGCCACCGGAGUUGUUUACGUUAUUCUGAAUCCCUCUUCAACAUUUUCAGGGCUAAAUUCUUAUUCCAUGCAUGUACUAAUUAAUCUGGGUAUCAUUGUAUUCUCAUUUUCAGACCAGCAGAAUCCAUUGUUCUGUACAAAGAAUUGAUAUUGAUUUUGCCUCUGUUCACUUUUGAAGUACCCAUUUUUGGGUGGUAAUCAUUUUGCCUUGUGUUUUGGAAAAAUUGACUCUUAAUUGUGUAUGAAUGAGAUUUGAACAGUGUGGAAUUUGGGUUUAAGAUGAGUGUUGUUGUUUAGUCUGCUUAAUGUCUGUUUUGUUAGGGAGAAGCUUACAAAGUUGGCAUGCCUUCCAAUUUAAGAGAACAUUUUUCCAUUCCAUGUUUUGACUAUACAGUAUGUGAUAGAUUCUAGAGAAAUCAUACUCAAUCAGAACAUAAACAAGCUUUUUGGAAGCUUUAUUCAUUCCAGAAGUGGUCCUUUUCCAUCUAUAAAUGAUUUAUCGCUGUCUAGAAAUUUCAAGACAAGAUACUCUUGAAGUGCCUCACAUCCUUAAAUGUUACAUCACCAGCCUAAGGAUAUGUAUGUCCUUACAGCAUGGUUAUUUCCUGGCUGUAAAAUUAUCUAAUGGAAGUUUUUUAUUUUUUUAUUAUUUUUUUUUUCUCACUGGGAUUCUCAUAGCAUAAGAGUAAUCAGUUAGUUUUGUUUAGGUGUUGUAGUUUACUGAUAACAUUUGUAUUCUUAAUAACUUAUGCGUACCUGCAUGUAACUCAUCAUUGACAUCAAUCAAUUAAUGUUAAGUUUUGCAGCUUGGAAAAUUCGAGGAUGGAUUUACCAGAACCCAAGAAUACCUCUACUUCAGAGGAGACUGAUGACACUAUUACUGCCUCCAUCGGACUAAAAAAGGAAGCAUGGAUGAACAAGUAUGGAGCGCAUAGUGAACCGAGCAGUUAGAGGUAAGAAAGCAGUACCAUGGUUGGUUUGUUUUUUUUUNNNNNNNNNNNNNNNNNNNNAAAAAAAAAAAAAAAUCAAGAAAUAUUUACAUUGCAGAUAGAAGUGGGUAUAUAUACCAUUUUAUGUAUUUGGGACUUCUUGUUUAAUGACGCGCACCUCAGAUUGAGGAUAAAAGAGGCUCUACGGUUUCAUAUCACAAGAGGAAUGACACCUUAGACCAGUAGUACGUAGUGUACAUUCACACCACAUAAACUUGAGUACUCAAAGGUGAUGCCGUAUCUCCUGUCCUGCAUGUGACUAUAUAUAUAAAUCCCCGGCCCCAACCCUUUUCCUCUCAUCUUCUUUGAUAGAAACCAUGGAUUGUUGUAGAUAAUCUGCAGAAAAUGAAAUUAAAACGUAGAAAAAAAAACAAUAUACGGACUACAUCGUGUAUUCAAUCGCCAUGGGGAUCAUGAUGUACAUCACAGCCUAUUUAUAGGCAAAUAGGGAUUAACAAGCUAAUGAUUGAACUACGUACCUUUAUAUAUAACAUUCUCUAGGUUUUCCUAUGAUGUAGAGGAAAUUAUACAGUAGAAUGGAUAAAAAGCUGGAGGGUUUCUAUGUCACAGGAGGAUGGAACAUGCUGCUCUUAUUAUACAUAGAACUGAAUGGCAUGCAUAUAUCCUAUAUAUAACAGAUAGCUACUUGCACCGUACCAUCUCUCCUGCGACAUAGAAUCCCUCAAUCUCUUGUUUCUUGAUUUCUCUCUAAGUAUGGUUGCCUAGCUAUUUAUACCAAUUAAGCUAGUUAGACUCAGACUCUCUCUCUCUCUNNNNNNNNNNNNNNNNNNNNCUCUCUCUCUCUCUCUCUCUCUCUCUCUCUCUCUCUCUCCUUGAAUAAUGUUAGGUUUUUCUACGUUUUGGGAAAUUUCCUAUACAAAUGCCAUGAAGUUUCUUUUAAAUUUCCAGGGAUUUUCCGAAACAAUUAUUAAUGAAGAAUAUUUAAUUGACGGAUGGUUAUCAAGAUCUAUUGAUCUAGAAGAAUGGUACCUGAUCGAUGAAUCCUAAUUUUUAAUAAUUUCCAGGUUCAAAUCAGCAUCCAUCUCAUUGGUAGUUCAUCUUGUCAAAUGACAACCUUAAUUCGUAGUAAUUUAUUUACAUUCCAUACCUUCCAUUGAUUUACUGCUAUAUAUUAAUAACUAGAAAUUAAGACAUUUUCCAGGAAACCUCCAUUUCACUCUAGCUAUCACUUGAAACCAUUCCUCAUAUAUGUGAGAGUUUUUCAGUCAAAAGCUAAAGGGCCGGAAGAAAAUUAGAAGCAUGCUUGUGAGAGUUUUCUCCAGCUAGCUGCUGCUAAGAGCAUUACAGAUAUGGUUGUUGAUGAGCUGAUGAUAGUCCAAGUCCUUCCUCUUGCUUGGACUUUCCUUUUCUGUAGCGUACGUAUUUUGAUUCAAAAAAAUAAUUUAUAGCCAGAAAAGAUAGCUAAUUAAUUACUCUAACAUGAAAUGUUUACAAAUGCAUGAUGCACUGGAUAAUCGGGACAAGCUAGCUAGUCUUCUUAAACAUUAUUCCUUCUAUUUUGACUGAUCAAUUUGGUACGUGUACUAGUGUAAUAUCGAUCACCGAACAACGAAGUCAUGGAGAAAUUGCGAAGGAAGUUCUCGAAAAAUUUCCUAGUCAUCUUAAUUUCCAAAUAAUCGAAGACCAUAAGACCCUGUAAGUCACUAGAAAUUAAGUUUCUAAACGAUCAGGCUUUAACAAUUAACAUAAGAGGAAUGUUCAUACAAUAUAUACAAAACUAUAACUAAUUGUAAUUUAGAGCUUCCAUGAUCAUCACUCAGUACUUUAUGAGAUCGAGUAGCUAGACUUGGAAAUCAAAAGUAAUUUCAUGGUAUUGCAUAGGCAGUUUCCUAAUCGUUGAAUGUGGAAAAACCUAACAUCGAUCUUCGGAUUUUCCACGGAUUUUCCAAGUAAUAUGCCUAUAAAUAUCGCCCAUGCCUGAGUUCUCAAAACCAUGAACAAAGAAAAUAGUUAAGAGAGAUUCAUGUCGCAGGAGAGAUGGAGCUUGCUGCUAUGUAUGUGUUAUAUGGAGGGCAAUAUAUCUCUACAUGCAUGCUCCACCCUUCUGUGAAAUGAAACCUUCUAUUUCUUUCUGAAAGAGUAUACGUCUUGUAUCCUUUAUUACUUGCAAUUUCAAUCAUCUCAAACUGAUCGAAGGAGAGGGAGCUAGAGAAAUAAGCGAUAAAAAGAGGUUGGAAUCCUGUCGCAGGAGAGAUGGCACUACCUAGCUUUACGCAUACGUAACGAGAUAUAUACGUACGUGGUAAAUAUAUAUAGAUGAGUUAUUGAUGGUGUAGCAGCUAGCUUGUGCCAUCCUCC
Molecule: long non-coding RNA, 3973 nt
Filed under: Fragaria vesca (wild strawberry)
Lineage: Eukaryota; Viridiplantae; Streptophyta; Magnoliopsida; Rosales; Rosaceae
Description: long non-coding RNA (FVES_LNC002796)
Source: RNAcentral